Molecule: transfer RNA, 74 nt
Filed under: Phycisphaerales bacterium
Lineage: Bacteria; Pseudomonadati; Planctomycetota; Phycisphaerae; Phycisphaerales
Also listed under: 2 other names
Description: tRNA-Arg
Rfam family: tRNA
About the family: Transfer RNA (tRNA) molecules are approximately 80 nucleotides in length.
Source: RNAcentral
GUCCCGGUAGCUCAGUUGGAUAGAGCAGCGGACUUCUAAUCCGCAGGUCGUGCGUUCGAAUCGCACCCGGGAUG